This 207-nucleotide ribosomal RNA is filed under the name uncultured bacterium. RNAcentral's name for it is "partial 16S ribosomal RNA". It matches the Rfam family "Bacterial small subunit ribosomal RNA", at positions 568 to 774 of the family's 1533-position model. The record is from RNAcentral.
AGCGCAGGCGGUGCGGCAAGUCUAAUGUGAAAGCCCGGGGCUCAACCCCGGUACUGCAUUGGAAACUGUCGUACUAGAGUGUCGGAGGGGUAAGCGGAAUUCCUAGUGUAGCGGUGAAAUGCGUAGAUAUUAGGAGGAACACCAGUGGCGAAGGCGGCUUACUGGACGAUAACUGACGCUGAGGCUCGAAAGCGUGGGGAGCAAACA